RNAcentral lists this ribosomal RNA (253 nucleotides) under uncultured bacterium. RNAcentral describes it as "partial 16S ribosomal RNA". It matches the Rfam family "Bacterial small subunit ribosomal RNA", at positions 524 to 776 of the family's 1533-position model. The record is from RNAcentral.
UACAGAGGGGGCAAGCGUUGUUCGGAAUUACUGGGCGUAAAGGGCGCGUAGGCGGCCUGCUAAGUCGAACGUGAAAUCCCUGGGCUCAACCCAGGAACUGCGUCCGAUACUGGUUGGCUUGAAUCCAGGAGAGGUGAGUGGAAUUCCGAGUGUAGAGGUGAAAUUCGUAGAUAUUCGGAAGAACACCAGUGGCGAAGGCGGCUCACUGGACUGGUAUUGACGCUGAGGUGCGAAAGCGUGGGGAGCAAACAGG